AACCAAAAACAACCUUUUUAUUUUUCAUUUUACUCUUUUUAGAGUAAUUACUCCUUUUUCCAUCGGCCUAACCAACCGAUGGUUUUUUUA
RNAcentral lists this antisense RNA (90 nucleotides) under Enterococcus phoeniculicola ATCC BAA-412. RNAcentral's name for it is "Enterococcus sRNA 84". It matches the Rfam family "Enterococcus sRNA 84". Rfam says of the family: Name 'Ref' stands for RNA in E. faecalis. The record is from Rfam by way of RNAcentral. Lineage: Bacteria; Bacillati; Bacillota; Bacilli; Lactobacillales; Enterococcaceae.